GUCAGGGCGGGCCUGGGCCGG
This 21-nucleotide microRNA is filed under the name Monodelphis domestica (gray short-tailed opossum). RNAcentral's name for it is "mdo-miR-12399-5p". Lineage: Eukaryota; Metazoa; Chordata; Mammalia; Didelphimorphia; Didelphidae. The record is from miRBase by way of RNAcentral.